GCCCGUAUAGCUCAGCGGAACGAGCGCCGGUCUUACAAACCGGAUGUCCCAGGUUCGAUCCCUGGUGCGGGCA
Molecule: transfer RNA, 73 nt
Filed under: Rhizocola hellebori
Lineage: Bacteria; Bacillati; Actinomycetota; Actinomycetes; Micromonosporales; Micromonosporaceae
Also listed under: 1 other name
Rfam family: tRNA
About the family: Transfer RNA (tRNA) molecules are approximately 80 nucleotides in length. Their secondary structure includes four short double-helical elements and three loops (D, anti-codon, and T loops).
Source: Rfam by way of RNAcentral